CCACUGCUGAGGAGUCCCACAAUAGGACGAAACGGCCGUCCAGUGU
RNAcentral lists this non-coding RNA (46 nucleotides) under Schistosoma curassoni. The record is from RNAcentral. Lineage: Eukaryota; Metazoa; Platyhelminthes; Trematoda; Strigeidida; Schistosomatidae.